Molecule: non-coding RNA, 1074 nt
Organism: Prunus mume (Japanese apricot)
Lineage: Eukaryota; Viridiplantae; Streptophyta; Magnoliopsida; Rosales; Rosaceae
Source: RefSeq, a predicted model, not a curated record
UUCAAAUUUCCUUCCAUUGUUUUUUGGUUGUUGAAGGGUUUGAGCAUGAGGAAAAAGGUGAUUUUGCAACCUCAACAAAGCAUUUCAGGACUACAACAAAAUGGUGCAAUUACAUCUAUUCGUGGACUUUGAAAUAGAAACAAGGUGACUGUUUGUGCAUGAAUAAAGGCUUGCCAUUGCCCUAGCUGCUGUUGUGGGACAAAGCCAGUGUAUAUGUACAGAAGUUGCGGGAUACAAUGUUCUCUCUCCCCUCUUUAAUUUCAGUUUUUUUUUCUUUUAAUAGAAUUUCGUCAAAUAUUUUGGUUCUGGAUUUUUUGUGUUGAAGAAAUUUACAAUAAAGGUAUUUUAUGACGUUCUGUGUUCGUAAAUAUCUUAUGUAGAACAACACAGAAUGUUGACUGAUUUUGAAGGUGCUGCAAGAAAAAACGAAGUAGGGUUUCGCAUUUGGCCUAGCAAAGAGUUCCACCAGUACCAGGUUGUUGGGAGGAAGCUACCUACGGCAUCUAAUGAGCACCCCAAGAUUUACCGAAUGAAGCUCUGGACCACAAAUGAGGUAUUUCAUGAGGAAGCUGAAGAAGGUCAAGAAGAGCAAUGGCCAAGUGCUUGCCAUUAAUGAGUCAAUGUUUUUUUGCGGUGGGGAAGUGGUUCCUUCUCAACUCUCCUCCUAGCGAAAUCCAAUUUGUUGCCAAAGAUGUGAAGGAGGCUGCGUCAAAGGCAUCCUCUCGAAUAUUAUGAAAACCUAUUUCUCUGCACAUUCCUCUCAAAAACUUAAAUGCUUUAUGCUCCACCAUAGCCUUUGGUGACAUGAAGCAGAAACAGGGAAGGAAAUCUCAUAUGAAAUGGGUAUUUUAUGUUGGAGUGAUAGUAGUUGUCAAAAAUGGCAUCAAAGCUUGGCAAAUCUAUGCUUGAUGGGGUUGGUGUUACGGUUUGAUCAGUGAUAGGACUUUUGGUUAAAUCCCAAGCAGGGAAUGCAUUCUUUGCCAUAGUUCCCGGACAGGUCCUCUUGGCUUCCCUUGAUGCUAUCAAGUUAAAACCCCUGCAAAGGACAAGAAAGAAUAGCAGCCACCUCUAUAG